CCUACGGGAGGCAGCAGUGAGGAAUAUUGGUCAAUGGACGCAAGUCUGAACCAGCCAUGCCGCGUGCAGGAAGACGGUCCUAUGAGUUGUAAACUGCUUUUGUACGAGGGUAAACGCAGAUACGCGUAUCUGUCUGAAUGUAUCGUACGAAUAAGGCUCGGCUAACUCCGUGCCAGCAGCCGCGGUAAUACGGAGGAUUCAAGCGUUAUACGGAUUUAUUGGGUUUAAAGGGUUGGUAGGCGGUAGGAUAAGUUAGAGGUGAAAUCCUGAGGCUCAACUUCGGAACUGCCUUUGAUACUGUUCGGCUAGAGAGUAGUUGAGGUAGGCGGAAUGUAUGGUGUAGCGGUGAAAUGCUUAGAUAUCAUACAGAACACCGAUUGCGAAGGCAGCUUACCAAGCUACUACUGACGUUGAGGCACGAAAGCGUGGGGAGCAAACAGGAUUAGAUACCCCUGUAGUC
Molecule: ribosomal RNA, 460 nt
Filed under: uncultured bacterium
Lineage: Bacteria
Description: partial 16S ribosomal RNA
Rfam family: Bacterial small subunit ribosomal RNA
Source: RNAcentral